Long non-coding RNA from Canis lupus familiaris (dog), 1686 nucleotides. RefSeq lists it as uncharacterized. Lineage: Eukaryota; Metazoa; Chordata; Mammalia; Carnivora; Canidae. The record is from RefSeq and is a predicted model, not a curated record. The transcript is spliced from 3 exons.
GUGCCCUUUCCACAUGGGUGACUAUUUUAAAAUAAAAUUAUUUUACUGGGGGGUGGAGGUGGGGCACCUGGAAAGCAGUACCCGUUUUCCCAGAGCCAGGCAUAUUUGGGGGUGCUGGAGGGCUGGUGGAGAAGUUUAUUUAGGUAAUCUCUACACUCAAUGUGGGGCUCAAACUCAUGAUUUGGAGACCAAGAUUCGCAUGUCCUCCAACUGAGCCAGCCAGGCACCCCUGGACAGAGUAUCUGUGUUAGAGUUAGGCAAGAGACACCCAUGCCCUGGUUUCCAUGUUGUUCAGCCAGGAAAUGUGAAGAAACUUUGCCUUGGGACAGCCAAGCUCAGCCUGGAGCCUUCUGAUAUCCAAUGGACUCCUUAGGGAAAUGGCUGAUUGUGGGCUUGGGGCAGAAAGUGUACAAGAGAAGCCUGGAACAUCUUGUACCAAAUGUGAAUCAAGCUCUCCAAGACCACUGAAGGCUUGUGGAAAGAAAGGACUCAGGAUCCACCCUGGGAGAAGAUCCUUCCUUGCUAAAGAUGGGGGCAGUUUGGGUAUCAUAAUUGUGAUGGAUUAAAGCAUGUCAUAUGUGUUUAAAACCACUGAACACAGCUGAGGAAAGAAUCUAUGAGCCUGAGGAUAUCUCAAGAGAAACUUCCAAAACUCAAAAGCAAAGAAAAGAGACUGAAAGUAAUAGAAAAGAACAUCCAAGAACUUUGGGACAACUAAAACUGAGGUAUAACACAGGCAUAAUGGGAAUAUAUACAAAGAGGAGAAGAGAGAAACGAGGUAAAUAUUCGAAACUAUGGUGAUUGAGAAUUUCCCCCGAAUUAAUGUCAGACACCAAACCACAGAAGCAGGAAACCCAAGGAACACCAACCAAGCAGGAUAAAUGGCAAACAAAAACAAAAAACAAAAAAACCACAAACAAUAACAACAAAAGCCGUACACCUAUGUAUAUCCUAUUAAAAUUACAGAACAUCAAAAGUAAAGAAAAAAAUCUUGAGAAAUCAGAGGAAAAAAUACCCUACCUAUCAAAGAACGAAGAUAAGAAUUACACCAGACUUCAGAAACCAUGCAAGCAAGAAAAGAGUGGAGUGUAAUUUUUCAAGUGUUGGGGGAAAAAUUAGCAUAGCCUAAAAUUCUGUAUCCUGUGAAAUUAUCCCGUGAGAAUGAAGGAGAAUUACUUUCGAAGACAAACAUAAAUUGAGGGACUUUUUGCAAGUAUAUCUGUUUUAGAGAGAAGGAAAAUGAUAUAGAUCAGAAACUCAGAUCUACAUAAAGAAAGAGCAUUAAAGGAAUAAGGGAAGGUAAAAUAAAAACACUUUUCUUAUGUUUAAUUGAUCUAACAGAUAGGUUUGUUCAAAAUAAUAGCAGUACAUUCAAUUAUAUAUACUUAUAUUUAUGCUUAUGUAUAAGUAAAAUCAAGGACGGCAAUGAUGCAGUUGGUGGAAAGGAGGAAUUAGGAUUAUUUUGUUAUUAGAAGGUACUCACAGUGCUCAUGAAGUAGUGUGGAGUUAUUUGAAACUGGACUUGGAUUAGUUGCAAAUGUAUACUUCAAACUCUAGAGCAAUCACUGAGAAAAGUAAAAGGAAGAAUAACUGAUAGGCUAACAAAGAGAAAAUGGAAUAAAAAAAUAAUCAGUUAAAACCACAAAAGAUAAAAAAAGUAGAAGACAAAAAUAGGAACAAUAACAA